CUCCGGUCUGCAGCUCCCAGCAUGAUUGACGCAGAAGACGGGUGAUUUCUGCAUUUCCAACUGAGAUACUCAGAGUGGAAUUGAGAAUGAGGAAGAUUUGCACAUAGCCAUGAAACCUCCUGCCCGAGUUGUGGAAGGUCCUUGGACGCUAGCAGCCCUCCACCCGGCUUUACCCAAGAGUGGAAAGCAACACCAAGGCCAUUUCAAUGUUGCAGCACCAUCCAAGAAACCACUACCUAUCAAGAAUGCUGUCACACCUUUGAAGCCUGGCAAGCAUGAGAUUCAAUCACCAAUGCCCACCACGAUCUUUGAACUCACCCAAGCACCCACCAGGCAGGCUACAAGUGAGGCUACCUUUCAAACUACAUUGCCCACCCUGAAGGUGGAUAAGCCAACCAUGCCCUCCAUAGAGGUCCCCUAUUCUUAAAUAAGAGACCUCUAAGAGAUCCCCAUGGCUGAAUACUCCAAAUAAUCCUGUGUCACAAUAUAUUCCACUGCAUCU
RNAcentral lists this small RNA (502 nucleotides) under Pongo abelii (Sumatran orangutan). RNAcentral's name for it is "processed transcript". The record is from RNAcentral. Lineage: Eukaryota; Metazoa; Chordata; Mammalia; Primates; Hominidae.